UGACUUUAAUUCUUCAGGAUAAAUACUGAGGAGUGGUAUAGCUGGGUCAUAUGGUGGUUCCAUGCCCACUCUUUUGUGGAACCUCCAUGCUGAUUUCCACGGUGGUUGUACUCUAUUUACAUUUCCAUAAACAGUAUAAAAGUUUUUUUCCACAUCCUCUCCAGCAUUUAUUAUUGUUUGUACAAGUUGUCUUUUUUAAAAAUUUUGACGUAGAGAUGGGGACCCUGCUGUAUCUGGAUGGAAACUGCCACGGGCACGACACCCACACUCAUUCUCUGGUAAAUGUCUAGCAGAUCUUUUUGGGAAUUUCAUCUCAGAGUGACAAGAAUGUGACCCUUGUGUCAUCUUAAGGAUGAGAAAACAUAGGUCCCCAAGGACUACAAAAUUCUGAUAAGGCCUGAAGAUCCCUUACCUACUGAAUUGAUGCUGAUGGUAUCUUUGAAGAGAAGAAGGCACCUUCUAACAAGGAGGCAGCUGAGCACAGGGAGUAGUGACAGCACCUAUUUGAUCCUGGGAGGAAACUGAAGGCUUCUUGUAAUGGUUCAUGUGGACAAGAGGGGAACGGCUUCCACAGCAGAGGGACAUAACCUUAGAAUCCACUCACCUCAAGGAAGUGAUCUUAGCCACAUACUUGGUGUUUAAUUAAACAGAAGGGGGGAGAUGCUGAGAGCCAUAGCCGAGUCCGAAUGACGCAUGGCAUUUUUGCCAGAAUGGAGUGGUUGAGAGGUGAUGCCAGCAAGCCAUUGAGAUGAUAAUGGUUAUGUUAAGCUGUAUAUAUUAGACCCCUGCUGUCCGCCUGGGCUUGCUACUUUAGAGUUCUCGCAGGAAUUCCCGGAGAGUUCCCAUUGGUUGGGGAAAUGCAGGGAGAGGGAUUUCCGGUUGGUGUGUGGUGUGUCCCGAGAGAAGGCUGCCUGCGUGGUUCGCGGGAGUGCGGAGAAUAAAGGAGUUCCUGUUUUGAACCUACAAGGCUGUGUGGCGGCUCGGUUAAUUUGUGCCCAGCCAGACUGCGGCAAUUGGAGAAGCUAAAAGAAAACAUUGGUAUCAUCUUAUGGGAUGGUGAAUCCUUCAGUUCUAACCUACAGUUACAGGAAAAUCAUAAAUACUUUGCCACACGUCACUGCUGCAAAUCACAGACGUGGGAUUCCUCUUCCUGUGUUUAUCUAUGUAUUGUGUUGCUCCUGGAGGAUUGCCCGGAAUUAACUCUUCAAUAACCAGACAGGACCUUUCAGCCUCUGCUUCAGGAUUGAAAUCCGGUGAACAUCUUCAACUCUUCUCUGGAUCUGAGAGUUCACAUAAGAGAAAACAGAGUUUAUGUUCCAGGCAUACAAACUAUGGAACACCAAGUCCAUUUCCUACCCUGCUCAUCCAGCAAGGGAAAUAGGUGAGCACUGCAGUCCCUCUACUGCUAUCUUCACUCUGGGAGAAGCUGGUCCCUUGUUGAGGACCCAGGGCGAGGCACAUGAGGUGAGGAGCUGAGGCAUCCAGCCAAAACCUGGAAUGGAAAGGCGGCUUGUCGACAACCAUGAGCAAGGAGACCGAUCCUCUUGCAGCCCUGACCCACCGCUGACAACAACUGCAUGAGAGACCCUGAGCCAGAACCUCAGAGAAGCAUUGGUCUCACAUCCUAGACCUGAGAAUAAGGACCAGACAUGCUCUCUGCUCUGCCUGCCAUCACUAGGCACGGUGCAAAGUGCUUGACAGAUAUCUAAUGUAUUUCUGCUAAUAGUCAUGCUGAGGACACUAUUGUCUCCAUUUUCUUAAAGUAAAUAUAUUUAUUUUUUAGUCAUG
Long non-coding RNA from Marmota monax (woodchuck), 1788 nucleotides. RefSeq lists it as uncharacterized. The record is from RefSeq and is a predicted model, not a curated record. The transcript is spliced from 3 exons. Lineage: Eukaryota; Metazoa; Chordata; Mammalia; Rodentia; Sciuridae.